UGGCCCCUGCCCUGCGGGGGCUGCGGGAGGCGGCGGCAGCGGGGAGAGGCGCCCCGCGGGGCCCGCCGGGGUCCCCCCGCCGCCCGCCCCGCCCCGCACUGUCAGGCCGGGGGAAAACGCGGGGCCGUGGGCUGCUGGAGCAGACUUGGUUAUUGCUAUAAUUUAUUAUUAUUACUAUUAUUGUCAUCAUCGUCAUCAUCGUAAUUUAGGCUUCCACCCGUCGGAGAUUGCCCGAAGAAAGAGCCCGGAGGGUCAGGAUUAAGCAGGAGCCUCCCAGCCCCGUGCUGGCAGCACCGAGGAGCUCCAGCCGUGCCCGCGGCGCAGGGGCGGGAGGCGGCGGGAGAUGAGCGGCCCCUCGGGACCGGGGCUGAGCCGCCGCCCUGCCGCCAUCCCGGGCGACAGCAGCACGGGGUCCUGUUUUUGUGAGACCCGUGGCUUAAGACCCCUGGCCUUUGUGUUUAAUUUGGUUUCCACCCAUUCUAACUUCAGCGAAAAAACUUUGAGACCAGAGCUCGAGGACAAAAGCCCAAAGGUAAAACAAACUGCGAAGGCAUUACAUUUUUAAAGUACGAUACAUUUUGUAAGCCAAUCUCUUUAAUUUUUUACCUAACCUCGGUACUAACAGUAUCCGUGGAAAACCGAGUCCAAAGGCUCAGGAGGCACACACGUGUGCACACGUGACCUCUUAGAAGGUCAGACUAUAGUUAAAGUUUCCAAUUAAAAAAUCAAAGAGGAAAAUCAAAAUAAAUGCAUUACCUUUUAAUCAAAUAAAGAGAAGUAGAAUCCCUCUUAGUUUUAUUUUCUAGGCAUGAUGCAUAGUAAACAGCAUACUCAUAACAAGAUACUUUUAUUAGUACGGUGAGAUCCGUAUCUGAGAAGUUUCCAAACUUGGUUCUGUCCAUUGUGUGUGCCACAGUAUUGUCUGGGGGUGAUUUGCAUGGAUGAUUGCAAAAAUACUACAUUACGAAACUCCCCUCCAAUCUUUUUCUUAUGGAAAAGACACUAAAAAGCAUAUGCAAAUAACACGGUGCUUUUUGAAGAAAUAUACUCCCACUAUGGAUGUAGCAAGGAGAGGUUUUUUGUUUGUUUUGCAUAGCUUGUUUUAUUUUUAGCAUCAAUCUGGUUGCCAAAAAGCAGCCUCCCAGUGUGAGUGAAAACAGUGCAGUUCAACUGAGUGUGCAGUCUGGGUCUCACAGAGGAAUGAAUAUCAAAGCAGCAGAAACACCACAAAACAGGUUUCUUAGCAGAUACUGCUGUGAGGAUGUUCUUACUACACCUUGACAGAAGAGCUGAACAGCAAAAUGUUACGUAGAAGUGCCAGAUAACCUGAUUACUCGACAUUUGUUUGUAGUUUGGGUUAGAGCAUUGUAAGAAGAGGAAUGAAGGACAAAUAUUCUGGCUGGUACCCGCUGUGCUAAUGGAAAACAUGACAAACACCACUUUGCCAUCAACUGCUCAUCACCAGCACUUUACUGUGAGCUGCCCCAUCCAGCAGGCUGUUGGAUAAACCGUUCAUUGGAGCAUUUCUUUGCCUAGUCCGCUCCAAGUGAUCUGGUGUGCCACUAUUUUGGCUCUUUGAACUAACCAGUCUCAAAUUAAUGGUAGUAAACCCCAGAGCAUGGUCCUGAGUUACUCAUCUGAGGUCUGUGAUGCAACACAAGGAGGAUCACAAUUGUCUUCUUCCUACUGACAGGGAAGGUGCUGGUGUCACCUGCUUUCACCAUCACUCCCGACCUGCCAGUGGCUGUAACAGAGCAGGGAAUGAAAAUUUUGGGCCACUCUCCUGUUAACAUUCACUGUGAUGAAAAGGGGUUGCAAUGCAGGUGCUUUCUCACCUGUCCCUGGAAGUGAGACCUCAUGACUCACCUAUCUGAGGUUUGUGGCACCUCAAAAUUAACAAGCUGGAAAGAAAAAUAAAUGAAUAGAUGAUGUGUAGAUAGGCGUGCUUAGUACUUACAAUAUGUUUUAGAUCCUUUUCAUAAAAUACAACACUACUACUUUAUUUUCUUGAAGUGUUAUCUAUUUUAUGGUGAGGAAAACAGAAGUGAAGAAACCAGUUCUUACUUCCUCCUGUGGAAGCUUUCCCAGUUUGCCAAAUCAUUAACAAAUGUUUUAAGCAGCAAAGGGAAAAAAAUAUGCCAUUUGCUCAUAAGGCAAAACCAUGUGGACUACUAGAAAUUACAGAAUAAUGUGUGAGGUUUAAGCAAAAUAAGGGACAGGAGAAAGCGAAACCAACUGUAAAUAUUGAUAAGAGUUAAGUCAUAGGGUAGCAAUUAAUACACAUAUCUUGUAUGUUCCAUAACUCUUGGAAACAGGCCUACAAAAAGAGCCACAAUUCACAGAAAUUAAGCAAAAGCAGUUAAGGCAACAUGAACGCAUACUGCAGGAAAAUAAUUAAAAUUAGGUAAUUAAAGGCAUACAAAGUUGGAUUUUAGUUGGAAUCAAUCGCUACCAUUUUGAAAGGGGUAAUUUAAAAUCAGAUAAACCUGUAGAACAGAUGUUCAACUUUGCAACAAACCGUGCCAGAGGACAUGAGUUAAGGAGGCAUUUAGUGUCUCUUAUGUAGUUCAAAAUGGCUUCUCUUAAAAGAACAGGGCAACCAGGAUCUCAGGCUUCUAAUUUACCACAUUUGUUAUUAAAAAAGAUGUUGAGAUAAAAGCAGAGAGAUUUCUCAGUAAUAGAGACAGACAGCAUAUUUGCAGUGAGGAGGCAUUUUGCAUUCCCUGACCUUGGACCGAAUGUGUUUAAGGUCAUAAACUACACACAGGAUCAACACACCUUCUUUCAUUUCCCCCUGUCUUGUUUCCCAGCUGCCCACCUUGAUCCUAUCCUGCAUUCAACACACACAUCUUGUAGGAGGAUUUGCAUCCUCAGAAGAAAACUGAAAAUGAAAUUUUAAAAAGAAUGCAAAAAUCACUGGACACAACAGAAUUUGCCAGCUGGUCAGAAGGACCUUCAUGACGUCGGCUGGCAAAACCUUGCCAGUCUUUAGAGUUGCGUUUGACGUGGCAUAAUGAAAUGCUAACCUGACCUCAUCAGCUCAGAUACCUCCCUGUCCUUUGGGAAAACAGAGUUGUGCAAUACAGCCUGUUUUAAUAACUGCUGGCAAAUGCAGGCCAACCUUUUCAGUCCAGCAAUCACAGCCCGGCAACGUGAGUGCAGAAUUCAGCCCUCCUCCACAGGCAUUAAUGAGCCAGCGAGUUCACGACGUGCAGUUUCAUCUCAGCCUCACGCAAUGGAGGACACAAGCCGCCGAGUUCCGAGUAGCAGCAUCCUGAUGUCAGCACACAAGCGCUCAGAAAGCACGUGCCCUGAAACAAGUGGGUCUAAAUUAGCCUAACGAACCAGAAACACUGGACUAGUAACUCCUGGGUAGCAUUCCUCCUUCCAUCUGGGCAAUCAUGGCUCUGUAACACAGACCUCACACUGCGAGCUGCUCCUAGCUACUAAGCCAGCGACAUGGAGCAGACCCAAACAUAGACAGAGCACCAGGAAACUGCAGUCUGUGCCAAUAGCAGAGCCUGGGCCUAUUCACUGCUGAAGCUGGAGCUGUAACGUAACAUAAAUUCAUCAGAUUGGAACAUCUAGAAAACCAAAUUGCUACCUGCUUACCUCAGCCAAACAGGCAAUACCUGACCAGGCAGUGAGCAAGAGUGCUCGAGUUAUGAUAUCAAACCACCAAGGUAUAUAGCUGGUGAAUGAGUAAAGUCUUAGCGUAGUUGAUGGUUCAUAUCUGUGUAACACUGCAGUUGUUGGAACAAAUGACCUUACCGUAACCUAUACUUUUCUUCACUAAACAAAGUUCCUAUAUUAAUAUACAUUGAAGAAACUAUUCCCCUCAACAUCUCUUGAGAGAAAUAAUCACUCAUGUACGCCUGAGUGUUAAUACUGAGUGUCUCAUCGAGAAAUAGCAGGUCAAGAUCUCCACAGGGCAAGCCUGGGAUCUCUAGAACAACUGUUGUAAAACUGACAUCAAAAUCAAGAGUCAGGUUUGCCAGCUCGAUGGACUUUUGGUGAACAGACAUGAGUGGUGUUUAAGGUAAGGUUACAUACAGCCUCAUACAGUGUACAGAAACAGCAACUACCAAGACAGUUGCUUGGUACCAUUUUAAAUUAAAUCAGGAGCCACAAAGGUAGGGGAGUGGGAGAAGAAAUACUGCAGGAAGACAGAAAAGAGGAAAUUUUUGUGCAUUCUUUAUAUAAAAUAUAUAAGGGGCAGAAGGGGCAGUGAGACAACACAUGGGAGGCAGGGCCCUAUCCCAUGGCCCUUGUGCAGUAUUUGCUUAACUGAGCAGACUUGCAGGAAUCCUGAGGCCCUUUCAACACUGCCCCUCAAUAUCUGCAGAGCAACUUGUGAGUCACAGAAUGGUUUGGGCUGGAAGGAACCUCAAAG
This is a long non-coding RNA of Myiozetetes cayanensis, 4393 nucleotides long. RefSeq lists it as uncharacterized. NCBI's taxonomy places the organism in Eukaryota, Metazoa, Chordata, Aves, Passeriformes, Tyrannidae. The transcript is spliced from 3 exons. The record is from RefSeq and is a predicted model, not a curated record.